Molecule: long non-coding RNA, 2869 nt
Organism: Mercenaria mercenaria
Lineage: Eukaryota; Metazoa; Mollusca; Bivalvia; Venerida; Veneridae
Exons: 2
Source: RefSeq, a predicted model, not a curated record
UGAUGCCUCAAUCCGCACCUUGUUUUUCGUGCGUUUCCGUAAAAGACGCGGAAACAUACGAAGAUAACGGUAGGUUUGCGUUUUUUUGGUUGCGGAAGAAAUUGGAUUUACAAAUGGAAUUAUAAAUGUUUUAAGGAAAUUUACAGCUAGUUUCGAGUUUCUCGAGUAAGAACUUGGAUUGUAGUAAAGGAGAACUGAAGUAAAACUUGCUUAUCCGUUUAAUCUUCUAUCUAAGCUGUUCAGCCUCGGGUCGCGUGUACUUUUAGCCUGAACACGGAAGUAGAGUGAAUAUGUCAUGAUGUGCCAAAGAAGUACCAGUACUCACAGUAGCUCUUUGUUCAUAUAACGUGGAAAACUAGGAAAAAUCAAAUGUUAGAUGUCAGGUCAUCUAAGUGCAAUCAGAUGAUGUUAUUCAACAUGCUGUGGCUGCAUUGAACUAGAAGUCAUAUCAUGAACAGAAUCCAGGGAUCAUAAGAGAAAUGUAUGUAUAGCCAAUGAUGAUGAUACCUGCUGGUCAAUCACUGCCAAAGAAUAACCUAUUCACAGAAAUAUGGCAUCUUUCGCACAUAUGGAAUGGAACAUUUUUGCCAAGAUGCUACAUAAACUCUGACACCGAGAAUAUGGCACCUUUCCCACAUAUGGAAUGGAAAAAUUUUGCCAAGACGCUACAUAAACUCUGACACCGAGAAUAUGGCACCUUUCACACAUAUGGAAUGGAACAUUUUUGCCAAGACGCUACAUAAACUCUGACACCGAGAAUAUGGCACCUUUCACACAGUCAUAUGGAAUGGAACAUUUUUGCAAAGAUGCAACAUAAACUCUGACACCGAACGUACAUUACGACUAGUAGGACAAUAAUGGUAACAUAAAUAACACCAUUUUAAAAACUCUUGUCUUCAGUAUUGCUGCAGCCGGUCAGAUUUUGGAUUUAAUAAAUGUAUUUCAUGAAGUCACUUACAGGACAGUACCUAUUGUCAAAUUAACUGUGUCAUAUGACAUAAGCCCUGCUAAGUCAUUACUAACACUAAGUCUUGUCAACAAAUAUAUUUAUUGCUUAGACUUUAUGAUUUGAUUUUUGUCGAAAAAUAUGCAUAAUUUCUGCAGCAGAUCCUACACUAGUGCAAUAUUAUUCUGAGAAAGAACAAAUUCAUAUUUCUGGAUGCAAAGCUAAUUUUCAUUACAUACACAGAGUUAGAUCUAAUCUUAGAAUUAUUCUGGUAGAUGAAAUAAAUAAGUUCUUAAAGUAAAAUUGAAAAUUUUGAUAUUAAAAGAUCGAAACAGUGAUGUUACAAAUGACGCCACGUAACCGAUACGAAAAUUGCAUGCCAGUACUGUAAAACCUGCUUAAGCGGUCGCCUCUAAUUAGCAGCCAACCUGUCUUAAGCAGCCUGUGUCUCGAUCAUUUCCCAAAAUGGUCAUUUAUUCUAUAAAUUACCUGCAUUAAGCAGCCACCUGCUGUAAACAGCCACUUUUCCCAACACCCUUGGCUGGCUGUUUAAGACAGGUUUUACUGUAUGGAAAAAUGUUGAUGUAUGUAAUUCGCAUUCGCCACUUGGAAGAGUAUAAAUAUGAGUAUGUAAUUCAGGUAUUGAUGUUUUCAAGCUUCUGUUUGAUUUGUCAGUUUGUAAUUUCUUUACUUUUCAAAUAUUACACAUCAUUCUAAAAUUCUUGAGUUGAGGUAGUAGGAACUUUUAUUCUGGAAUUCACUUUUAGACUGGUGUAUCCAGUGCCUGGCUUAUUUUCAUGUUGAAUGAUUCUAUACAGAUAUUUAUGUCGGAACAAUGCUGAAUUACCCGACGAUAUUAGUCGACAAGCGAGUGGGGAUAUUGCCCAUAUGAAAAAAUUAUCUCAAUAUUUCCUAGGAUGGCGUCAAAUCAGUUGGGCUACUGCAUGACUAUAUAUAUAUAAUCACACGGAAAUGGCGGUCAUUCCGUGUGUACUACAUUAUGACACAGUUGAAAUGAUGAUGAUUAUUGUUGUUUGAACUUGCUGUAAAAUUGGAGCACUUGCACUUUAGCGGUCCCUAUAAUAAUAGUAGUUUAAUAAUGUCUUAAAUAUUAAAAGUUAAAAGAGGUAGCUUUAUUUUGAGAUGAAUAUGUUUGGGGGCUGCUGCCCCCACAUCCCUGCUUUGCCCCACAUCCCCAACUUGCUGCGCAUGCGCAUUGUAAACUUCCGGGGACCACUAAAGUGCAUUCUACCCGUAAAAUUAUUUAUUCUAACACGAUCCGAUUCAUUUUCCUAUUAAACAAAGAAGACAGAAAACAGUGAAUUAUUAUACAACAAAUCACUGUUCUGACGUCACAGUUAUUAUGUCAUGGCGUCAAACGGCAUAGCGGCGCACUGGAAAAGAAACCGAUUGAAAACGGGCAAAUAUUUAAUGAAUGUCAGCAAGAAUCCUUGGUAACGUGUUAGAAUCGAAAUAAUACAUCUCAAUUAGUGAUUUGCUCUUGAAUAAAUCAUUGUUUGUCGUUCAGAUGCGUAUUAUUAUAUCAUUCGGGCUGCGCCCUCGUGAUACAAUUCCUUCGCAUCUGAACUCCAAACAAUGAUUUAUUCAACGACAAAUAACUGGAUGAGAUAUAUUAUUUCUUAAUUAUUUUUUAUUAUAUUGAUUUAUUUCAAAUUUACAACGUUUCACCGAGCACUGGAAUACACCUCGCGGCAAGUGCUGGUUUGACCGCUCUUAGUUGAAUUAAUUUUGUAUUUUAAAUUUGUUUUUAAAGAAAACUCCUGUUAAAAUUUUUUGCUGUUAUAUUCAUUUUAAAAAAAACAAUUGUUGUUGUCAAUGUUUUUUAAUCCAGUCUUGAAAUUUGCUCACUGCAGCACAGUAGGCUACUGUAUUGUUAUUAUUAGAAAUAAAUUUAUAAAGUGA